CCUACGGGAGGCAGCAGUGGGGAAUAUUGCACAAUGGGGGAAACCCUGAUGCAGCGACGCCGCGUGAGUGAAGAAGUAUUUCGGUAUGUAAAGCUCUAUCAGCAGGGAAGAAAAUGACGGUACCUGAAUAAGAAGCCCCGGCUAACUACGUGCCAGCAGCCGCGGUAAUACGUAGGGGGCAAGCGUUAUCCGGAUUUACUGGGUGUAAAGGGAGCGUAGACGGCAGCACAAGUCUGGAGUGAAAUGCCGGGGCUUAACCCCGGAACUGCUUUGGAAACUGUGCAGCUAGAGUGCAGGAGAGGUGAGUAGAAUUCCUAGUGUAGCGGUGAAAUGCGUAGAGAUUAGGAGGAACACCAGUGGCGAAGGCGGCUUACUGGACUGAGACUGACGUUGAGGCGCGAAAGCGUGGGGAGCAAACAGGAUUAGAUACCCGUGUAGUC
This 440-nucleotide ribosomal RNA is filed under the name uncultured bacterium. Its description in RNAcentral is "partial 16S ribosomal RNA". It matches the Rfam family "Bacterial small subunit ribosomal RNA", at positions 338 to 795 of the family's 1533-position model. The record is from RNAcentral.